Molecule: ribosomal RNA, 468 nt
Filed under: uncultured bacterium
Lineage: Bacteria
Description: partial 16S ribosomal RNA
Rfam family: Bacterial small subunit ribosomal RNA
Source: RNAcentral
GACGAACGCUGGCGGCGUGCUUAACACAUGCAAGUCGAACGGAAAGGCCCUGCUUUUGUGGGGUGCUCGAGUGGCGAACGGGUGAGUAACACGUGAGUAACCUGCCCUUGACUUUGGGAUAACUUCAGGAAACUGGGGCUAAUACCGGAUAGGAGCUCCUGCUGCAUGGUGGGGGUUGGAAAGUUUCGGCGGUUGGGGAUGGACUCGCGGCUUAUCAGCUUGUUGGUGGGGUAGUGGCUUACCAAGGCUUUGACGGGUAGCCGGCCUGAGAGGGUGACCGGCCACAUUGGGACUGAGAUACGGCCCAGACUCCUACGGGAGGCAGCAGUGGGGAAUAGUGCACAAUGGGCGGAAGCCUGAUGCAGCAACGCCGCGUGCGGGAUGACGGCCUUCGGGUUGUAAACCGCUUUCGCCUGUGACGAAGCGUGAGUGACGGUAAUGGGUAAAGAAGCACCGGCUAACUACGUG